CUGACUUCAUGCCCAAGGUACCAAGGACAGCCUCAGCUUCCAGUCUCUGAGGAAAUGUUUGUUUUUGUCUUCGUGAGUUAUGCAUUUUAUGGGGCAAAAUGUCCUUGCUGAAUUUCUUUCCCUUUCUUUCUUCCAUUCCUCUAGUCUGUUUUAAAAGCCGACUGCACCAUCUCUCUCUAGUUUCUGCAGUUUUUAAGUUUGAUUGAGUUUUUAAGAUGAUGUGUAGUUGCCACUCAUCUAGAUAGGAAGUAGUCAAUGGAGGGAAUACUGUAAAAUCUCGACUGUCCAGUUAGACGAGGUGUUUGUUGCCUCUGAAUGUUCUCCAC
This 326-nucleotide long non-coding RNA is filed under the name Marmota monax (woodchuck). The record is from RNAcentral. Lineage: Eukaryota; Metazoa; Chordata; Mammalia; Rodentia; Sciuridae.